This 2274-nucleotide ribosomal RNA is filed under the name human gut metagenome. RNAcentral's name for it is "bacterial LSU rRNA". It matches the Rfam family "Bacterial large subunit ribosomal RNA", at positions 3 to 2293 of the family's 2925-position model. The record is from RNAcentral.
UCAAGCUACUAAGGGCAUGCGGUGGAUGCCUAGGCGCCAGGAGCCGAAGAAGGACGCGGUAAGCUGCGAAAAGCCACGGGGAACUGCAAGCGAGUAUUGAUCCGUGGAUAUCCGAAUGGGGAAACCCGGCCAUCGUAAUGGAUGGUCAUCCGCAAGGAAGGGAACCCGGGGAACUGAAACAUCUAAGUACCCGGAGGAAAAGAAAUCAAACGAGAUGCCCACAGUAGCGGCGAGCGAAGAGGGCAGAGCCCAAACCUGUAAGCUACGGCUUAUGGGGGUUGAGGACUGACGGAAUUAAGGCCAGGCUUAGCUGAACUACCUGGGAAGGUAGGCUAGAUAAGGUAAGAGCCCUGUAAGCGAAAAGCAGAGCCUUAAGGUCAGUAUCCAGAGUACCACGGAGCACGAGGAAUUCUGUGGGAAGCAGGGGGGACCACCCUCCAAGGCUAAAGACUAACUGGCGACCGAUAGCGCAUAGUACCGUGAGGGAAAGGUGAAAAGAACCCCGGGAGGGGAGUGAAACAGUACCUGAAACCGUAUGUCUACAAGCAGUCGGAGCGAAAGCGACGGCGUGCCUAUUGAAGAAUGAACCAACGAGUUAUCUGCACUAGCGAGGUUAAGUGGAAGACACGGAGCCGUAGCGAAAGCGAGUCUGAAAAGGGCGAUGAGUUAGUGUAGGUAGACCCGAAACCGCAGUGAUCUACCCAUGUCCAGGUUGAAGCGCAGGUAAAAAUGCGUGGAGGACCGAACCGGUGAGCGUUGAAAAGCUUUCGGAUGAGAUGUGGGUAGGGGUGAAAUUCCAAUCGAACGCGGAGAUAGCUGGUUCUCCCCGAAAUAGCUUUAGGGCUAGCCUCAGGUAGUAAGUAUAGGCGGUAGAGCACUGAUCGGGCUAGGGGCCAUAAAGGUUACCGAACCCUGUCAAACUCCGAAUGGAUAUACUGCAGAGCCUGGGAGUCAGACUACGAGUGAUAAGAUCCGUGGUCAAAAGGGAAACAGCCCAGACCACCGGCUAAGGUCCCAAAUGCCGUACUAAGUGGAAAAGGAUGUGGGGAUUCAUAAACAACCAGGAUGUUGGCUCAGAAGCAGCCACCAUUUAAAGAGUGCGUAAUAGCUCACUGGUCGAGAGUCCCUGCGCCGAAAAUUUCCGGGGCUAAAGUACGGAACCGAAGCCGUGGCUGUGCAUGUAAGUGCACGGGGUAGGGGAGCGUUGCCACAGGGGUGAAGCUGGUCUGGAAGGACUGGUGGACUUGUGGGAAGUGAGAAUGUUGGUAUGAGUAGCGAAAAGAAAGGUGAGAAUCCUUUCCACCGAAAGCAUAAGGAUUCCUGAGCAACGAUCGUCGUCUCAGGGUAAGUCGGGACCUAAUCCGAGGCAAAGAGCGUAGGAGAUGGACAACAGGUUGAUAUUCCUGUACCGGCAGCAAUUGUUUGAGCGAAGGAGUGACACAGAAGGGCAGGCAGGCGCGAGACUGGAUUGUCGCGUGCAAGCGUGUAGGGUAGUGUACAGGCAAAUCCGUACACUCUGGGCCUGAGGCGUUACGCGGAGCGAGCAGAGAUGCGAGCGAAGCUGCUGAUCCCACACUGUCGAGAAAAGCUUCUAGUGAGAGAGCUGCCGCCCGUACCGUAAACCGACACAGGUAUGCGGGGAGAGAAUCCUAAGGUGCGCGGGAGAACCCUCGUUAAGGAACUCGGCAAAAUGUACCCGUAACUUCGGGAUAAGGGUAGCCGUCUUGGUGAAGGAGCUUGCCUCUGGAGCUGAAGGCGGUCGCAGAGAAGAGGCCCAAGCGACUGUUUACCACAAACACAGGUGCCUGCUAAAGCGAAAGCUGACGUAUAGGUGCUGACACCUGCCCAGUGCUGGAAGGUUAAGGAAGGAUGUCCGGGCAACCAAAGCAUUCGACCGAAGCCCCAGUGAACGGCGGCCGUAACUAUAACGGUCCUAAGGUAGCGAAAUUCCUUGUCGGGUAAGUUCCGACCCGCACGAAAGGUGUAACGAUUUGGGCACUGUCUCAACGAGGGACCCGGUGAAAUUGAAAUACCUGUGAAGAUGCAGGUUACCCGCGACUGGACAGAAAGACCCCAUGGAGCUUUACUGUAACCUGACAUUGGGUUUUGUUGUAUUACGUACAGGAUAGGUGGGAGGCUUGGAAGGCUGGACGCUAGUCUGGCUGGAGCCGGCGUUGGGAUACCACCCUUGAUACAACGGAAUUCUAACCGAGAGAGUAACGAAAUCCGGGACAGUGUCAGGCGGGCAGUUUGACUGGGGCGGUCGCCUCCGAA